ACUUUCAACAACGGAUCUCUUGGUUCUGGCAUCGAUGAAGAACGCAGCGAAAUGCGAUAAGUAGUGUGAAUUGCAGAAUUCAGUGAAUCAUCGAAUCUUUGAACGCACAUUGCGCCCCUNUGGUAUUCCAUGGGGCAUGCCUGUUCGAGCGUCAUUUG
This 158-nucleotide ribosomal RNA is filed under the name Boeremia diversispora. RNAcentral describes it as "5.8S ribosomal RNA". It matches the Rfam family "5.8S ribosomal RNA". Rfam says of the family: 5.8S ribosomal RNA (5.8S rRNA) is a component of the large subunit of the eukaryotic ribosome. It is transcribed by RNA polymerase I as part of the 45S precursor that also contains 18S and 28S rRNA. Functionally, it is thought that 5.8S rRNA may be involved in ribosome translocation. The record is from RNAcentral. Lineage: Eukaryota; Fungi; Ascomycota; Dothideomycetes; Pleosporales; Didymellaceae.